UCUCCGUAGGUGAACCUGCGGAGGGAUCAUUGAAUCUAUUGAUCUUACUGUCCGGUGGUCAACCAUUGUCACGAGUGCCGCUCUGUCUGCCACUCCGAACGGGGUCCGACCGUGUGGGAACGGUGGGGCUCUGCGGGCAGAGUCGAGUGUCCCUCCCCAUCGGGAGGUCGCUCGGGCGACGGCCGAAACCCUUUUUUUUGACCGUAGACUGGCUCAGCUGAAGCUCGCCGACUUCGAAAGGAGGAGGCACCAACCUGAGACAACUCUCAACAACGGAUAUCUUGGCUCCCGCAUCGAUGAAGAACGCAGC
This 310-nucleotide unclassified non-coding RNA is filed under the name uncultured fungus. RNAcentral describes it as "sequence contains ITS1, 5.8S rRNA gene". The stretch from base 262 to 310 matches the Rfam family "5.8S ribosomal RNA", at positions 1 to 49 of the family's 154-position model. The record is from RNAcentral. Lineage: Eukaryota; Fungi.